RNAcentral lists this long non-coding RNA (718 nucleotides) under Pongo abelii (Sumatran orangutan). RNAcentral's name for it is "lincRNA". The record is from RNAcentral. Lineage: Eukaryota; Metazoa; Chordata; Mammalia; Primates; Hominidae.
ACUUCUCGCGGUAUCUGACCCCUAGGCUCCGCCCUCUGCACGCCGCUCUCGGUAUCUGACGCUCAGGCUCCGCCCCCUGCAUGUCUUUGUUGGCAAACAGUUCUGGGGGUCAUCCUAGCCUACAGAUAGUGCCCAGGCUGGACUUGAACUCCUUGCUGGGCUUAAGUGAUCCUCCUGCCUCAGCCUCCUGAAUAGGAAGUGGAGCCAGAAUCCACAGAUGUCAUUAUCCAUCUGCACACUUUGUUUACUACCCAGAAGGCAAGAAUAUUGCAUUUUAAAAGUGCCUAGACUUUUGUUCUUUCUUAUCACAAAUGACUUGGGAAGCUCCGACCACUCAUGUUUACCCCGAGUGAAAGUCCCAUUCAAAGCCUUGCUUCCUGGAGAGCUUUGAGAUUCUGGUUCAAAAGGCAUUUUAUAAGCACAAAGUGGAAAAGCAUCAUUCAUAUUCAUUUGCUGCUGCGGCAUUUCUCCCUGGAUUCUUCCUCUUGUCUGUCAACAUUGGGCAAAAGGACUGGCCUCAUCUACAUUACAGAUAUCCUUGUGAUGGUCUGGAGGUAGGAAAAGGACACCCAGCACAAGAGUGAGAAGGGAAACUCAAGCUCUCCUGUUGGAGAGUCUCAGGCUUCUUUAUCCAUAAAACUGAUCGGACAUAAUUGGUGUGGGUUUAUGAUUUGUUUUGGAAAAACCUGAGUAUGAAAUCAAUACCGUGCUUUGUGCA